UUCCUCCUGCCCUCUUGCUGGAGAGUUUAAAGUUAGUUUGCCAAAUCCGCGAACAGAAGCAGAGUAUAUAGUACAGCAAAGAGUAUAUAGUACAGCAAAGGAGAUUAAUCCUUUGAUUAAUCUCCUUUUCUUUUCUUCACCGUAGAGAAGCCGCUGUUGUUCCAGCGUUUCAUUACGAAACGACAGAAAAACGUAUAAAACAUAAGGUGCAGCUGAAUUGCAGGCAUUAUUUAUCUACUUUGCCUUGGGCACUUGGAACAAACUUAGUCCGUUCUUCUAAGUGGCUGAAGCAAGCAGAGGUGAACCUACCAUGGCUUCUGAUCCAUAAUUUGAGAAUUUUGCUCGAACUGGCCACUGCACAGAAAAAUAUGGUGAAACUCCAGUGAACCAACCAUCUGUGUCUUCUUAAUCAUUUAGCUGAGGAAAUGUUUACUCAGCUUUGAAAAGGGGAAUAAAAAGGAUCAACUUAAUGCCCUGUCUUACAAGUGAUGUUGCUGGGGCAUAAAUAUAAAAGUAAGUCUUUAUAUUUCUAUUACAUUUUCUAUGGGAAACAGACUUCAGCAGAAACCACUGCUGCCUUUCAUUGCUCUAUCAUAUUUGUUUUGAGGUAGACCUCAACGUGACCAGAACCACAAUGAAUCUCACCUGACCCUGGACUGCAGAAAUCCAAGCUACAUGUUUGACAUUUCCCCAAUUCCUGUAUCCACAAAGACAUGAAGAGCAUUCACUGAUUUCUCAGUAUUGUUUUAAACUAAACUAGUAUUGUCUGUAAACUUAGGUAAAUUGCUAUAAGAUAGGUAUAAAGGUCUCUCUGCAGCCUGAAAUCUGAGCCUUUCUCCUUUUUUAGUUCUCUUGCUCUUUCCAGAAAUGGGAUAGUGAAGUUAUUUACAUGAAUUGAAUGAAAGCUUAGACAUUAAGACAAACAUUUUCAGUUAUUUUCUAGAAUAUGUGGGAAAGAUACUUUGUUCUAUGGAGCAUGUAUUUCUCAUUGUUCUGGCAACCCUGAACAAUAUUUAUAAAUGUUGGUCAUGCAAGCAAUAAUUGGGAGGCUUCUAUCCCAUUUAUUUAUUUCUUAUCCCAGUUUGGUAAGUAUGAUGGUUGAGAGUGUUCUUGCCAUGAUGAUAAAUUUAGCUGGAAUCAUGACAGGAACAGGUCUAACACAGAAUAUGAUAAGAAAGAAAGGACAGAAGUCUGAUAUCAUAAAUGUUCAGAGUCUGUCCUUUCCUUGAAUAAAAGCUUAUCAUUUGCAAUCCAUUAACUAAUCUUAAAUGUCACAGUAUAUGUGAAACUAUAGAAGACUACUGCAGCUAUGAAGUACACUAUAUUUACUCUUUGAGCUAGGCUAGGCUAUAUAUAUAUAGUUAUUUCAAUGUUCAUUCUGAACAACUUUCUUUAAGAAGUGCUUCUUUAAGAAGUUACUUUAAAAAAAUCAAUACUUUGUCUCUAAAAAAGGGAAUAUUUGCCAAGGUUUGUAUCAUUUGAAUUGAUUAGGGCAUAUUGGCUGAAGUCUGCAGCAUCACUGGUGCCAAAUACCAAGUUUUUACCUGACAUUACUAUUUUAUGACCUUUUAAGAAAUUCCUUAUAUAGAUGAGCAGCUAUACAAAGAAACACAAAUAACCCACUCAAUCCUUAAAAAAAAAACUUGAAUUCACACAAUUAAAUAUUCCUAUUCCAAACUUUAGGUCUCGCUCUUGCCUAAAGAAAUGUAAUAUUGUAUACAUCAAAAAUGAUGUUCAGUUGAAAAUACGUGGCAUCUGACAAUAUCUCUGCCAAUUUUCAGUAUUCACUAUUGCUUAUCUAUAGAUUUAAAUAUUUAAAACAUGCUAUUCAGGUAACAUGCUGUUUUCAGAAGCAUUACUUUAUGGAUAUUAUUGGUGAGAACUAUGCCUACACAAAACUAUCUCAGAUCUCCUGGACUGUUCUUGUGCCACUAAAUACUUAUCAGCAGUUCAGUGGUCUUUAGAUGCCAGACAUAACUCUGCAAAAGUUAUGCACGUCUGAUAACAUUAAGGACAGCAAAUAUAGAAAGAAAUCCACCAAAAGAUUCAUAUUAUUGGUCUGAAACAUCUAGAAAUAUAUUAUUAAUGCAUUUUAUAUCAUUUA
Molecule: long non-coding RNA, 2104 nt
Organism: Crotalus tigris (Tiger rattlesnake)
Lineage: Eukaryota; Metazoa; Chordata; Lepidosauria; Squamata; Viperidae
Exons: 3
Source: RefSeq, a predicted model, not a curated record